GCGUCGGUAGUGCAACUGGUUGCAGCGCAGGGCCUCAGAAAGGGUGAAAUGCGGGUUCGAGUCCCGCUUGACGUCA
Parelaphostrongylus tenuis is the source of this 76-nucleotide non-coding RNA. The record is from the annotation of a GenBank genome assembly. Lineage: Eukaryota; Metazoa; Nematoda; Chromadorea; Rhabditida; Metastrongylidae.